This 478-nucleotide ribosomal RNA is filed under the name uncultured bacterium. RNAcentral's name for it is "partial 16S ribosomal RNA". It matches the Rfam family "Bacterial small subunit ribosomal RNA", at positions 28 to 523 of the family's 1533-position model. The record is from RNAcentral.
GACGAACGCUGGCGGCGUGCUUAACACAUGCAAGUCGAACGGUAAGGCCCUUCGGGGUACACGAGUGGCGAACGGGUGAGUAACACGUGGGUGCUCUGCCCUGCACUUCGGGAUAAGCCUGGGCAACUGGGUCUAAUACCGGAUAGGACCACUGCCUGCAUGGGUGGUGGUGGAAAGCUUUUGUGGUGUGGGAUGGGCCCGCGGCCUAUCAGCUUGUUGGUGGGGUGAUGGCCUACCAAGGCGACGACGGGUAGCCGGCCUGAGAGGGUGACCGGCCACACUGGGACUGAGAUACGGCCCAGACUCCUACGGGAGGCAGCAGUGGGGAAUAUUGCACAAUGGGCGCAAGCCUGAUGCAGCGACGCCGCGUGAGGGAUGACGGCCUUCGGGUUGUAAACCUCUUUCAGCACCGACGAAGCGCAAGUGACGGUAGGUGCAGAAGAAGGACCGGCCAACUACGUGCCAGCAGCCGCAGUAA